UCUUCAAUCUAUAUGUAUACAGAACCUCCCCUCGUGGUCUGCCUCCACCCUCUCGCUCCUUUCCCCGCUCCCCGCCGCCCUGCCCACUCUCCCUCACUGACUUUCAUGCUCUCUCGUGCUUUCGCCAAGCAGCCAGAGUGUCUCGUAUUGAUCGAGCAGCCCCCACUGUAAGUCUUUGGCGCGUGUUACAGAGGUUCGCAGGAACAAGCAGAGUCCAGGACGUUGGAUGAAAAGGACAAGAGAGUGAUGGCGUGCUUCCGAUUCAUUGGUAAAUGUCUCUUCCACGAGGAGAUCAGGUCCAACGGAUGCAUCGACAUGCCUCUAGGAUAUUACUAUACAUAAGCCCUUGAAACGUCUGCCUGGACCCACGUUACGUCAGACUAUCAUGAAAGGUGCAAAAGUCUAUACGAACGCUCAACGGAGGGGACUAUGAGGUCCUGUCAAAAUUCAUGGCAUUGUUCGUUAGCACGGUGCCAAAUGCGAAUUCACGGAUGCCAAUUUCAGGGGAGGAACACAAAACAUCGCAGAUGUACACCGGCUCGAAGAAAAGAGCACAUGGCCUACAGUCACGUGUCCUUUGUCAUGGAAGAUCGAUCCGAACGGAAAUUUCCACUAGAAGAGGAGCCUCUCCUACCGUAGAAGAACAUUCGCGCAAUUCUAAUCGAAUCAUUGGUCCACCGAUUCUCCACUACGUUAUUUCACUAUGGUGUCCCUCCGCUGAUAUUUCUGGGAAUGCUUCUCAUGCUUGUAGCACGGUGCAGCAAGUACGGUUAGUAAUUGGAUCGUCCAUUAUGUAAAGAGGCGUCUUGAUGUUUAGACGAGAGCCUUUAUUAUGCACAACAAUCGCAACGAACCUGAGCCAGAGCGAGCGGACUGGUCGCUGCUCUAGAGGCCGAUCAAUACACGCUACGGAAAGGUCAGCAGCACUUACGGCUACGUACGGAAUCACGUACCGGCGACACACCUCUCUCGCGGAAAGAUAUCGAUCUCUUCAUUUUGAACGAGAAUAACGAACGAGGAUGCUAGUAACGUUCGUUUCGACAGACUGCAUUCCCAAGUGAUUUCGUGGCCUAGGGGGUUCCCGAAAUACUAUACUCAUGGGGUAACGGAUAGCGAAGACCUCGGUCCUGUUUAAAAAUAGUUCAAGACACCAGAAGCCAUCAUGGAUCUAUGCCUUAGAGACUGUGAUAUAAAUAAGAUCCUUCUUUUCAGAUCACUGAGAUUCGCUGUUUUUGGAUUAAAGCGGUUGACGCGAGAAGACAAUAGCUUAUUCUUUGAAAUCGCUGCACCGUUAGAUUUCACGGACGCUGUGAUAUGAUGGAUCUCUUUGGGAUCAGAUUGUCGUUCUGUUAAUCGAACCGUCACGCCUUCCAUCAAUAUGAUGGAUUGAUAGUAGCUAGACAGUAUUUAACCUAUGGAGUUUCCCAGAUGGUCCAUACAUCCGGAUACGCUGAUGGCCAGGGAAAGAGAAGGGCAAGGGAGUGAAGGGCAAGGGAGCAGUAAAGAACGAGGGUUGCAACGGAAGGGAGAUGUCCCAGAUUCGAAAACCUUGACCCAAUGAUUCGCCUCUGGAGCUACAGAGCGAGGCUUCGGAACAUAUUCAGCUUAGUGCGGAAAUCAUCUCUUGGUUAUU
Molecule: long non-coding RNA, 1633 nt
Organism: Cephus cinctus (wheat stem sawfly)
Lineage: Eukaryota; Metazoa; Arthropoda; Insecta; Hymenoptera; Cephidae
Exons: 4
Source: RefSeq, a predicted model, not a curated record